Molecule: ribosomal RNA, 118 nt
Filed under: Cebus imitator (Panamanian white-faced capuchin)
Lineage: Eukaryota; Metazoa; Chordata; Mammalia; Primates; Cebidae
Source: RNAcentral
UUCUGUGGCCAUAUCACCCUGAAUGCGCCUGAUCUCAUCUGAUCUUGGAAGCUAAGCAGGGUUGGGCUUGGUUAGUACUUGGAUGGGACACCACUGGGAAUACUGGGUGCUUUUAAAA